UUCCUCUUGUAUUUAUUUUGAGGUAUGACCUGCCCACUGAUUGUUUAAAGGGCCGCGGUAUUUUGACCGUGCAAAGGUAGCAUAAUCAUUAGUUUUUUAAUUGAAAGCUGGUAUGAAUGGUUGGACGAAGAAUUUUCUGUUUCUUUUUUAUAACUUGAACUUAAAUUUUAAGUUAAAAUGCUUAAAUAUUUAAAUGGGACGAGAAGACCCUAUAGAGUUUAAUAUUUUAUUAAUUUUUUUGUUUGUUUAUUUAUUAAUUGUUAAUUUAUUUCAUUGGGGCGAUGGGAAAAUUUAUUUAACUUUUUUUAUUAUGUUUUACUUGUUUGUAAUUUUUUGAUCCUUUAUUAUUGAUUUUAAGAGUAAAUUACCUUAGGGAUAACAGCGUAAUCUUUUUUUAGAGUUCUUAUUAGUAAAGAGGGUUGCGA
This 425-nucleotide ribosomal RNA is filed under the name Anaplecta sp. 3 MD-2014. RNAcentral describes it as "partial 16S ribosomal RNA". Lineage: Eukaryota; Metazoa; Arthropoda; Insecta; Blattodea; Anaplectidae. The record is from RNAcentral.